This 425-nucleotide ribosomal RNA is filed under the name bacterium Cro49(2010). RNAcentral describes it as "bacterial SSU rRNA". It matches the Rfam family "Bacterial small subunit ribosomal RNA", at positions 976 to 1387 of the family's 1533-position model. The record is from RNAcentral.
GGCCUCCUUGGACAUUCGAGGGUAUGGGCAUUGGAGACGAUGUCCUUCAGUUAGGCUGGCCCCAGAACAGGUGCUGCAUGGCUGUCGUCAGCUCGUGUCGUGAGAUGUUGGGUUAAGUCCCGCAACGAGCGCAACCCUCGCCCUUAGUUGCCAGCAUUUAGUUGGGCACUCUAAGGGGACUGCCGGUGAUAAGCCGAGAGGAAGGUGGGGAUGACGUCAAGUCCUCAUGGCCCUUACGGGCUGGGCUACACACGUGCUACAAUGGUGGUGACAGUGGGCAGCGAGACAGCGAUGUCGAGCUAAUCUCCAAAAGCCAUCUCAGUUCGGAUUGCACUCUGCAACUCGAGUGCAUGAAGUUGGAAUCGCUAGUAAUCGCAGAUCANCAUGCUGCGGUGAAUACGUUCCCGGGUCUUGUACACACGAAA